UACGUAGGGUGCGAGCGUUAAUCGGAAUUACUGGGCGUAAAGCGUGCGCAGGCGGUUUUGUAAGCCAGAUGUGAAAUCCCCGGGCUUAACCUGGGAAUGGCAUUUGGGACUGCAAGGCUGGAGUGCGGCAGAGGAGACUGGAAUUCCUGGUGUAGCGGUGGAAUGCGCAGAUAUCAGGAGGAACACCGAUGGCGAAGGCAGGUCACUGGGCCGCAACUGACGCUGAGGAGCGAAAGCAUGGGGAGCGAACAGG
Molecule: ribosomal RNA, 253 nt
Filed under: uncultured bacterium
Lineage: Bacteria
Description: partial 16S ribosomal RNA
Rfam family: Bacterial small subunit ribosomal RNA
Source: RNAcentral